CCUACGGGAGGCAGCAGUAGGGAAUCUUCCACAAUGGACGAAAGUCUGAUGGAGCAACGCCGCGUGAGUGAAGAAGGUUUUCGGAUCGUAAAACUCUGUUGUUGGAGAAGAACACGUUUGAGAGUAACUGUUCAGACGUUGACGGUAUCCAACCAGAAAGCCACGGCUAACUACGUGCCAGCAGCCGCGGUAAUACGUAGGUGGCAAGCGUUAUCCGGAUUUAUUGGGCGUAAAGCGAGCGCAGGCGGUUUCUUAAGUCU
RNAcentral lists this ribosomal RNA (260 nucleotides) under uncultured Bacillota bacterium. RNAcentral describes it as "uncultured Firmicutes bacterium partial 16S ribosomal RNA". It matches the Rfam family "Bacterial small subunit ribosomal RNA", at positions 338 to 590 of the family's 1533-position model. Lineage: Bacteria; Bacillati; Bacillota. The record is from RNAcentral.